Molecule: long non-coding RNA, 314 nt
Organism: Epinephelus moara (kelp grouper)
Lineage: Eukaryota; Metazoa; Chordata; Actinopteri; Perciformes; Serranidae
Exons: 3
Source: RefSeq, a predicted model, not a curated record
UGAUUAAUUAUUGAUGAUGAACUGUUGGUACAGCUGCUCCAGGUCCACAGACCUGAGGGUCCAGGUUAUUGAUUAUUAAUUAAUUAUUGAUUAAUUAUUGAUGAUGAACUGUUGGUACAGCUGCUCCAGGUCCACAGACCUGUGAGUCCAGGUUAUUGAUUAUUAAUUAAUUAUUGAUUAGUAUUACAGGUCUUUGUGUGAGUGUGUGUUACAGGUUAUGUAUCUUUAUGUGAGUGUGUGUUACAAGUUGUGUAUCUUUAUGUGAGUGUGUGUAACAGGUUGUGUAUCUUUAUGUGAGUGUGUGUUUCAGGUUG